GACGAACGCUGGCGGCGUGCCUAAUACAUGCAAGUAGAACGCACAGUUUAUACCGUAGCUUGCUACACCAUAGACUGUGGGUUGCGAACGGGUGAGUAACGCGUAGGUAACCUGCCUGGUAGCGGGGGAUAACUAUUGGAAACGAUAGCUAAUACCGCAUAAUAUUGAUUAUUGCAUGAUAAUUGAUUGAAAGAUGCUAUUGCAUCACUACCAGAUGGACCUGCGUUGUAUUAGCUAGUAGGUGAGGUAACGGCUCACCUAGGCGACGAUACAUAGCCGACCUGGGAGGGUGGUCGGCCACACUGGGACUGAGACACGGCCCAGACUCCUACGGGAGGCAGCAGUAGGGAAUCUUCGGCAAUGGACGAAAGUCUGACCGAGCAACGCCGCGUGAGUGAAGAAGGUUUUCGGAUCGUAAAGCUCUGUUGUAAGAGAAGAACGGGUGUGAGAGUGGGAAGUUCACACUGUGACGGUAUCUUACCAGAAAGGGACGGCUAACUACGUG
This 505-nucleotide ribosomal RNA is filed under the name uncultured bacterium. Its description in RNAcentral is "partial 16S ribosomal RNA". It matches the Rfam family "Bacterial small subunit ribosomal RNA", at positions 28 to 507 of the family's 1533-position model. The record is from RNAcentral.